This 467-nucleotide ribosomal RNA is filed under the name uncultured bacterium. RNAcentral describes it as "bacterial SSU rRNA". It matches the Rfam family "Bacterial small subunit ribosomal RNA", at positions 28 to 472 of the family's 1533-position model. The record is from RNAcentral.
GACGAACGCUGGCGGCGUGCCUAAUACAUGCAAGUCGAACGCACGAAGUUGAAGAGCUUGCUCUUUAACCAAGUGAGUGGCGGACGGGUGAGUAACACGUGGGUAACCUGCCCAUUAGAGGGGGAUAACAUUCGGAAGCGGAUGCUAAUACCGCAUAGUUUCAGGGAUCGCAUGAUUCUUGAAGGAAAGGUGGCUUCGGCUACCACUAAUGGAUGGACCCGCGGCGUAUUAGCUAGUUGGUGAGGUAAUGGCUCACCAAGGCAAUGAUACGUAGCCGACCUGAGAGGGUGAUCGGCCACACUGGGACUGAGACACGGCCCAGACUCCUACGGGAGGCAGCAGUAGGGAAUCUUCCGCAAUGGACGAAAGUCUGACGGAGCAACGCCGCGUGAGUGAAGAAGGUUUUCGGAUCGUAAAACUCUGUUGUUAAAGAAGAACAAGGAUGAGAGUAACUGCUCAUCCCCUGA